RNAcentral lists this ribosomal RNA (300 nucleotides) under uncultured Acidobacterium sp. Its description in RNAcentral is "bacterial SSU rRNA". It matches the Rfam family "Bacterial small subunit ribosomal RNA", at positions 1046 to 1365 of the family's 1533-position model. The record is from RNAcentral. Lineage: Bacteria; Pseudomonadati; Acidobacteriota; Terriglobia; Terriglobales; Acidobacteriaceae.
UGGCUGUCGUCAGCUCGUGUCAAGAGAUGUUCGGUUAAGUCCGGCAACGAGCGCAACCCACAUCUUUAGUUGCCAGCAGUUCGGCUGGGCAGNUCUAAAGAAACUGCCCGUGAUAAGCGGGAGGAAGGUGUGGAUGACGUCAAGUCCUCAUGGCCCUUACGGGUUGGGCUACACACGUGCUACAAUGGUAGUGACAAUGGGUUAAUCCCAAAAAGCUAUCUCAGUUCGGAUUGGGGUCUGCAACUCGACCCCAUGAAGUCGGAAUCGCUAAUGUAAUCGCGUAACAGCAUGACGCGGUGA